UACGGAGGGUGCAAGCGUUGUUCGGAAUUACUGGGCGUAAAGCGCGCGUAGGCGGACCUGCAAGUCGGGGGUGAAAGCCCGAGGCUUAACCUCGGAACUGCCUUCGAUACUGCGGGUCUCGAGUCCGGGAGAGGUGAGUGGAAUUCCUAGUGUAGAGGUGAAAUUCGUAGAUAUUAGGAAGAACACCAGUGGCGAAGGCGGCUCACUGGCCCGGUACUGACGCUGAGGCGCGAAAGCGUGGGGAGCAAACAGG
Molecule: ribosomal RNA, 253 nt
Filed under: uncultured bacterium
Lineage: Bacteria
Description: partial 16S ribosomal RNA
Rfam family: Bacterial small subunit ribosomal RNA
Source: RNAcentral